This 253-nucleotide ribosomal RNA is filed under the name uncultured bacterium. RNAcentral describes it as "partial 16S ribosomal RNA". It matches the Rfam family "Bacterial small subunit ribosomal RNA", at positions 524 to 776 of the family's 1533-position model. The record is from RNAcentral.
UACGUAGGGCGCAAGCGUUGUCCGGAAUUAUUGGGCGUAAAGGGCUCGUAGGCGGUUUGUCGCGUCGGGAGUGAAAACACGGGGCUUAACCCCGUGCCUGCUUCCGAUACGGGCAGACUAGAGGUAUGCAGGGGAGAACGGAAUUCCUGGUGUAGCGGUGAAAUGCGCAGAUAUCAGGAGGAACACCGAUGGCGAAGGCAGGUCUCUGGGCCGAUACUGACGCUGAGGAGCGAAAGCGUGGGGAGCGAACAGG